Molecule: ribosomal RNA, 670 nt
Filed under: Nocardia sp. GR 39-10
Lineage: Bacteria; Bacillati; Actinomycetota; Actinomycetes; Mycobacteriales; Nocardiaceae
Description: bacterial SSU rRNA
Rfam family: Bacterial small subunit ribosomal RNA
Source: RNAcentral
UGCAAGUCGAGCGGUAAGGCCCUUCGGGGUACACGAGCGGCGAACGGGUGAGUAACACGUGGGUGAUCUACCCUGUACUUCGGGAUAAGCCUGGGAAACUGGGUCUAAUACCGGAUAUGACCUGCCGAUGCAUGUCGGUGGGUGGAAAGAUUUAUCGGUACAGGAUGGGCCCGCGGCCUAUCAGCUUGUUGGUGGGGUAAUGGCCUACCAAGGCGACGACGGGUAGCCGGCCUGAGAGGGCGACCGGCCACACUGGGACUGAGACACGGCCCAGACUCCUACGGGAGGCAGCAGUGGGGAAUAUUGCACAAUGGGCGAAAGCCUGAUGCAGCGACGCCGCGUGAGGGAUGACGGCCUUCGGGUUGUAAACCUCUUUCGACAGGGACGAAGCGCAAGUGACGGUACCUGUAGAAGAAGCACCGGCCAACUACGUGCCAGCAGCCGCGGUAAUACGUAGGGUGCGAGCGUUGUCCGGAAUUACUGGGCGUAAAGAGCUUGUAGGCGGUUUGUCGCGUCUUCUGUGAAAACUUGGGGCUCAACCCCAAGCUUGCAGGCGAUACGGGCAGACUAGAGUACUUCAGGGGAGACUGGAAUUCCUGGUGUAGCGGUGAAAUGCGCAGAUAUCAGGAGGAACACCGGUGGCGAAGGCGGGUCUCUGGGAAGUAACUGA